GCCAAAGUGUAAGGUUAAAUAGCCUUAACAUUAAAUUCUUUUUUUCCUUGAUCAUAGGCUAUGUGAGGCACCUUAUCUCCUUCUGUGAUCAAGAGAGAGAAAAGAGCAUCUGAGAGGUGUUCAUAGUAUGUGAAAUUCAUCAUCUUCUGGAGGUGUCUUUGAGCCAUUCUGAAGAGAACAGAACUUUCUUCUUAACUGAGCAUGGGUCUUCAGCGACAACCCUGGCAUGCACACUGUGCAACAGCUCUGGGUGCUUCACAUCAACUCAUUCCCAAUGGACUCAGAACCUAUUGAUUUUUCAAGUUACCUAUGGAAUUCUGCCUUGUGAGGUGC
This 333-nucleotide long non-coding RNA is filed under the name Manacus vitellinus (golden-collared manakin). Its description in RNAcentral is "lncRNA (ENSMVIG00005012089.1)". The record is from RNAcentral. Lineage: Eukaryota; Metazoa; Chordata; Aves; Passeriformes; Pipridae.